GGGGAUUUAGCUCAGUGGUAGAGCACGUGCCUAGCAAGCGCAAGGCCCUGGGUUCGGUCCCCAGCUCCG
Non-coding RNA from Rattus norvegicus (Norway rat), 69 nucleotides. Lineage: Eukaryota; Metazoa; Chordata; Mammalia; Rodentia; Muridae. The record is from Rfam.